Harmonia axyridis is the source of this 79-nucleotide small nucleolar RNA. RefSeq annotates it as small nucleolar RNA snR60/Z15/Z230/Z193/J17. Lineage: Eukaryota; Metazoa; Arthropoda; Insecta; Coleoptera; Coccinellidae. The transcript has a single exon. The record is from RefSeq and is a predicted model, not a curated record.
CUUGAAUGAUGAAUUCAUAGUUCAAAUGAUCAAAGUGAUUUCAACCUUUUUUGUCUUUCGCUCCUAACUGAUUUUCUAA